Molecule: ribosomal RNA, 2905 nt
Filed under: Escherichia coli
Lineage: Bacteria; Pseudomonadati; Pseudomonadota; Gammaproteobacteria; Enterobacterales; Enterobacteriaceae
Description: 23S ribosomal RNA
Rfam family: Bacterial large subunit ribosomal RNA
Source: RNAcentral
GGUUAAGCGACUAAGCGUACACGGUGGAUGCCCUGGCAGUCAGAGGCGAUGAAGGACGUGCUAAUCUGCGAUAAGCGUCGGUGAGGUGAUAUGAACCGUUAUAACCGGCGAUUUCCGAAUGGGGAAACCCAGUGUGUUUCAACACACUAUCAUUAACUGAAUCCAUAGGUUAAUGAGGCGAACCGGGGGAACUGAAACAUCUAAGUACCCCGAGGAAAAGAAAUCAACCGAGAUUCCCCCAGUAGCGGCGAGCGAACGGGGAGGAGCCCAGAGCCUGAAUCAGUGUGUGUGUUAGUGGAAGCGUCUGGAAAGGCGCGCGAUACAGGGUGACAGCCCCGUACACAAAAAUGCACAUAUUGUGAGCUCGAUGAGUAGGGCGGGACACGUGGUAUCCUGUCUGAAUAUGGGGGGACCAUCCUCCAAGGCUAAAUACUCCUGACUGACCGAUAGUGAACCAGUACCGUGAGGGAAAGGCGAAAAGAACCCCGGCGAGGGGAGUGAAAAAGAACCUGAAACCGUGUACGUACAAGCAGUGGGAGCCUCUUAAUGGGGUGACUGCGUACCUUUUGUAUAAUGGGUCAGCGACUUAUAUUCUGUAGCAAGGUUAACCGAAUAGGGGAGCCGAAGGGAAACCGAGUCUUAACUGGGCGUUAAGUUGCAGGGUAUAGACCCGAAACCCGGUGAUCUAGCCAUGGGCAGGUUGAAGGUUGGGUAACACUAACUGGAGGACCGAACCGACUAAUGUUGAAAAAUUAGCGGAUGACUUGUGGCUGGGGGUGAAAGGCCAAUCAAACCGGGAGAUAGCUGGUUCUCCCCGAAAGCUAUUUAGGUAGCGCCUCGUGAAUUCAUCUCCGGGGGUAGAGCACUGUUUCGGCAAGGGGGUCAUCCCGACUUACCAACCCGAUGCAAACUGCGAAUACCGGAGAAUGUUAUCACGGGAGACACACGGCGGGUGCUAACGUCCGUCGUGAAGAGGGAAACAACCCAGACCGCCAGCUAAGGUCCCAAAGUCAUGGUUAAGUGGGAAACGAUGUGGGAAGGCCCAGACAGCCAGGAUGUUGGCUUAGAAGCAGCCAUCAUUUAAAGAAAGCGUAAUAGCUCACUGGUCGAGUCGGCCUGCGCGGAAGAUGUAACGGGGCUAAACCAUGCACCGAAGCUGCGGCAGCGACGCUUAUGCGUUGUUGGGUAGGGGAGCGUUCUGUAAGCCUGUGAAGGUGUGCUGUGAGGCAUGCUGGAGGUAUCAGAAGUGCGAAUGCUGACAUAAGUAACGAUAAAGCGGGUGAAAAGCCCGCUCGCCGGAAGACCAAGGGUUCCUGUCCAACGUUAAUCGGGGCAGGGUGAGUCGACUCCUAAGGCGAGGCCGAAAGGCGUAGUCGAUGGGAAACAGGUUAAUAUUCCUGUACUUGGUGUUACUGCGAAGGGGGGACGGAGAAGGCUAUGUUGGCCGGGCGACGGUUGUCCCGGUUUAAGCGUGUAGGCUGGUUUUCCAGGCAAAUCCGGAAAACCAAGGCUGAGGCGUGAUGACGAGGCACUACGGUGCUGAAGUAACAAAUGCCCUGCUUCCAGGAAAAGCCUCUAAGCAUCAGGUAACAUCAAAUCGUACCCCAAACCGACACAGGUGGUCAGGUAGAGAAUACCAAGGCGCUUGAGAGAACUCGGGUGAAGGAACUAGGCAAAAUGGUGCCGUAACUUCGGGAGAAGGCACGCUGAUAUGUAGGUGAAGCGACUUGCUCGUGGAGCUGAAAUCAGUCGAAGAUACCAGCUGGCUGCAACUGUUUAUUAAAAACACAGCACUGUGCAAACACGAAAGUGGACGUAUACGGUGUGACGCCUGCCCGGUGCCGGAAGGUUAAUUGAUGGGGUUAGCGGUAACGCGAAGCUCUUGAUCGAAGCCCCGGUAAACGGCGGCCGUAACUAUAACGGUCCUAAGGUAGCGAAAUUCCUUGUCGGGUAAGUUCCGACCUGCACGAAUGGCGUAAUGAUGGCCAGGCUGUCUCCACCCGAGACUCAGUGAAAUUGAACUCGCUGUGAAGAUGCAGUGUACCCGCGGCAAGACGGAAAGACCCCGUGAACCUUUACUAUAGCUUGACACUGAACAUUGAGCCUUGAUGUGUAGGAUAGGUGGGAGGCUUUGAAGUGUGGACGCCAGUCUGCAUGGAGCCGACCUUGAAAUACCACCCUUUAAUGUUUGAUGUUCUAACGUUGGCCCGUAAUCCGGGUUGCGGACAGUGUCUGGUGGGUAGUUUGACUGGGGCGGUCUCCUCCUAAAGAGUAACGGAGGAGCACGAAGGUUGGCUAAUCCUGGUCGGACAUCAGGAGGUUAGUGCAAUGGCAUAAGCCAGCUUGACUGCGAGCGUGACGGCGCGAGCAGGUGCGAAAGCAGGUCAUAGUGAUCCGGUGGUUCUGAAUGGAAGGGCCAUCGCUCAACGGAUAAAAGGUACUCCGGGGAUAACAGGCUGAUACCGCCCAAGAGUUCAUAUCGACGGCGGUGUUUGGCACCUCGAUGUCGGCUCAUCACAUCCUGGGGCUGAAGUAGGUCCCAAGGGUAUGGCUGUUCGCCAUUUAAAGUGGUACGCGAGCUGGGUUUAGAACGUCGUGAGACAGUUCGGUCCCUAUCUGCCGUGGGCGCUGGAGAACUGAGGGGGGCUGCUCCUAGUACGAGAGGACCGGAGUGGACGCAUCACUGGUGUUCGGGUUGUCAUGCCAAUGGCACUGCCCGGUAGCUAAAUGCGGAAGAGAUAAGUGCUGAAAGCAUCUAAGCACGAAACUUGCCCCGAGAUGAGUUCUCCCUGACUCCUUGAGGGUCCUGAAGGAACGUUGAAGACGACGACGUUGAUAGGCCGGGUGUGUAAGCGCAGCGAUGCGUUGAGCUAACCGGUACUAAUGAACCGUGAGGCUUAACCUU